GCCGGGCGUUGUGGCGGGCGCCUGUGGUCCCAGCUACUUGGGAGGCAGAGGCAGGAGACUCGCUUGAGCCCAGGAGUUGGAGGUUGCUGUGAGCUGUAAUGCCACGGCACUCUGCCCAGGGGGACAGCUUGAGGCUCUGUCUCAAAAAAAAAAAAAAAAAAAAACACCAACUCAUACAUUUUUUCUUUUUUUUUUUUUUUGAGACGGAGCCUCAAGCUAUCCCCCCUGGGUAGAGUGCCAUGGCAUCAUGCUCACAGCAACCUCCAACUCCUGGGCUCAAGCGAGUCUCCUGCCUCAG
Molecule: signal recognition particle RNA, 298 nt
Filed under: Otolemur garnettii (small-eared galago)
Lineage: Eukaryota; Metazoa; Chordata; Mammalia; Primates; Galagidae
Description: Metazoan signal recognition particle RNA
Rfam family: Metazoan signal recognition particle RNA
About the family: The signal recognition particle (SRP) is a universally conserved ribonucleoprotein.
Source: Rfam by way of RNAcentral